This 205-nucleotide long non-coding RNA is filed under the name Elaeis guineensis (African oil palm). RNAcentral describes it as "long non-coding RNA (EGUI_LNC057054)". Lineage: Eukaryota; Viridiplantae; Streptophyta; Magnoliopsida; Arecales; Arecaceae. The record is from RNAcentral.
AUCGAAACUCUUUUUGAUGGAUUGGAACAAUUUCAAUUCUGCCCUUUGAGGGUCAUCGAUCAUCAAGAUAAUGCCCAAUGAGUCUCACAAUCCACCAGUGACAUUCAGCAGCAUGUAGUGACAACCUAGUAGAAUGAAAGUAUGAAUCUCUAGGUAUGGUUAUCAUAUGAUUCAGUCCUUCUAUCGUGAGUCCCGACUUGAUGGG